RNAcentral lists this transfer RNA (56 nucleotides) under Triticum aestivum (bread wheat). It matches the Rfam family "tRNA", at positions 10 to 63 of the family's 71-position model. From Rfam's summary of the family: Transfer RNA (tRNA) molecules are approximately 80 nucleotides in length. Their secondary structure includes four short double-helical elements and three loops (D, anti-codon, and T loops). Lineage: Eukaryota; Viridiplantae; Streptophyta; Magnoliopsida; Poales; Poaceae. RNAcentral also lists the same sequence under 1 other name. The record is from Rfam by way of RNAcentral.
GCUCAGUUGGUAGAGCACAAGGCUCUUAACCUUGUGGGCGUGGGUUCAAGCCCCAU